RNAcentral lists this ribosomal RNA (478 nucleotides) under uncultured bacterium. RNAcentral describes it as "partial 16S ribosomal RNA". It matches the Rfam family "Bacterial small subunit ribosomal RNA", at positions 28 to 507 of the family's 1533-position model. The record is from RNAcentral.
GAUGAACGCUGGCGGCGUGCCUAACACAUGCAAGUCGAACGGAGUCCAGCCUUAGAGACCUUCGGGUCAAAGAGGGGAAGACUGAGUGGCGGACGGGUGAGUAACACGUGGGCAACCUGGCUCAUAGAGGGGGAUAACAGAGAGAAAUUUCUGCUAAUACAGCAUAAGCACACACUGCCGCAUGGCAGAGUGUGAAAAGAGAAUCGCUAUGAGAUGGACCCGCGUCUGAUUAGCCAGUUGGCAGGGUAAGAGCCUACCAAAGCGACGAUCAGUAGCCGAUUUGAGAGGAUGAACGGCCACAUUGGGACUGAGACACGGCCCAAACUCCUACGGGAGGCAGCAGUGGGGGAUAUUGCACAAUGGGGGGAACCCUGAUGCAGCGACGCCGCGUGAGUGAAGAAGUAUUUCGGUAUGUAAAGCUCUAUCAGCAGGGAAGAUAAUGACAGUACCUGAAUAAGAAGCCCCGGCUAACUACGUG